UCGUUGGGUAGGGGAGCGUUCUGUAAGCCUGCGAAGGUGGCCUGUGAGGGUUGCUGGAGGUAUCAGAAGUGCGAAUGCUGACAUAAGUAACGAUAAAGCGGGUGAAAAGCCCGCUCGCCGGAAGACCAAGGGUUCCUGUCCAACGUUAAUCGGGGCAGGGUGAGUCGACCCCUAAGGCGAGGCCGAAAGGCGUAGUCGAUGGGAAACGGGUUAAUAUUCCCGUACUUGGUGUUACUGCGAAGGGGGGACGGAGAAGGCUAUGUUGGCCGGGCGACGGUUGUCCCGGUUUAAGCGUGUAGGUGUGUGUUCCAGGUAAAUCCGGUUCACUUUAACACUGAGGCGUGAUGACGAGGCACUACGGUGCUGAAGCAACAAAUGCCCUGCUUCCAGGAAAAGCCUCUAAGCAUCAGGUAACAUCAAAUCGUACCCCAAACCGACACAGGUGGUCAGGUAGAGAAUACCAAGGCGCUUGAGAGAACUCGGGUGAAGGAACUAGGCAAAAUGGUGCCGUAACUUCGGGAGAAGGCACGCUGACACGUAGGUGAAGUGAUUUACUCAUGGAGCUGAAGUCAGUCGAAGAUACCAGCUGGCUGCAACUGUUUAUUAAAAACACAGCACUGUGCAAACACGAAAGUGGACGUAUACGGUGUGACGCCUGCCCGGUGCCGGAAGGUUAAUUGAUGGGGUCAGCGCAAGCGAAGCUCCUGAUCGAAGCCCCGGUAAACGGCGGCCGUAACUAUAACGGUCCUAAGGUAGCGAAAUUCCUUGUCGGGUAAGUUCCGACCUGCACGAAUGGCGUAAUGAUGGCCAGGCUGUCUCCACCCGAGACUCAGUGAAAUUGAACUCGCUGUGAAGAUGCAGUGUACCCGCGGCAAGACGGAAAGACCCCGUGAACCUUUACUAUAGCUUGACACUGAACAUUGAGCCUUGAUGUGUAGGAUAGGUGGGAGGCUUUGAAGUGUGGACGCCAGUCUGCAUGGAGCCGACCUUGAAAUACCACCCUUUAAUGUUUGAUGUUCUAACGUGGACCCGUAAUCCGGGUUGCGGACAGUGUCUGGUGGGUAGUUUGACUGGGGCGGUCUCCUCCUAAAGAGUAACGGAGGAGCACGAAGGUUGGCUAAUCCUGGUCGGACAUCAGGAGGUUAGUGCAAUGGCAUAAGCCAGCUUGACUGCGAGCGUGACGGCGCGAGCAGGUGCGAAAGCAGGUCAUAGUGAUCCGGUGGUUCUGAAUGGAAGGGCCAUCGCUCAACGGAUAAAAGGUACUCCGGGGAUAACAGGCUGAUACCGCCCAAGAGUUCAUAUCGACGGCGGUGUUUGGCACCUCGAUGUCGGCUCAUCACAUCCUGGGGCUGAAGUAGGUCCCAAGGGUAUGGCUGUUCGCCAUUUAAAGUGGUACGCGAGCUGGGUUUAGAACGUCGUGAGACAGUUCGGUCCCUAUCUGCCGUGGGCGCUGGAGAACUGAGGGGGGCUGCUCCUAGUACGAGAGGACCGGAGUGGACGCAUCACUGGUGUUCGGGUUGUCAUGCCAAUGGCACUGCCCGGUAGCUAAAUGCGGAAGAGAUAAGUGCUGAAAGCAUCUAAGCACGAAACUUGCCCCGAGAUGAGUUCU
RNAcentral lists this ribosomal RNA (1609 nucleotides) under Salmonella enterica subsp. enterica serovar Bovismorbificans. RNAcentral's name for it is "bacterial LSU rRNA". It matches the Rfam family "Bacterial large subunit ribosomal RNA", at positions 1221 to 2812 of the family's 2925-position model. Lineage: Bacteria; Pseudomonadati; Pseudomonadota; Gammaproteobacteria; Enterobacterales; Enterobacteriaceae. The record is from RNAcentral.